UACGGGGGGAGCAAGCGUUGUUCGGAUUUACUGGGCGUAAAGGGCGCGUAGGCGGCGCAACAAGUCAGUUGUGAAAUCUCUGGGCUUAACCCAGAGCGGUCAACUGAUACUGUCGUGCUAGAGUGCGGAAGGGGAGACUGGAAUUCCUGGUGUAGCGGUGAAAUGCGCAGAUAUCAGGAGGAACACCGGUGGCGAAGGCGGGUCUCUGGGCAGUAACUGACGCUGAGGAGCGAAAGCGUGGGGAGCGAACAGG
Molecule: ribosomal RNA, 253 nt
Filed under: uncultured bacterium
Lineage: Bacteria
Description: partial 16S ribosomal RNA
Rfam family: Bacterial small subunit ribosomal RNA
Source: RNAcentral